UGGGGAAUAUUGCACAAUGGGCGCAAGCCUAAUGCAGCCAUGCCGCGUGUAUGAAGAAGGCCUUCGGGUUGUAAAGUACUUUCAGCGGGGAGGAAGGUGUUGAGGUUAAUAACCUCAGCAAUUGACGUUACCCGCAGAAGAAGCACCGGCUAACUCCGUGCCAGCAGCCGCGGUAAUACGGAGGGUGCAAGCGUUAAUCGGAAUUACUGGGCGUAAAGCGCACGCAGGCGGUCUGUCAAGUCGGAUGUGAAAUCCCCGGGCUCAACCUGGGAACUGCAUUCGAAACUGGCAGGCUAGAGUCUUGUAGAGGGGGGUAGAAUUCCAGGUGUAGCGGUGAAAUGCGUAGAGAUCUGGAGGAAUACCGGUGGCGAAGGCGGCCCCCUGGACAAAGACUGACGCUCAGGUGCGAAAGCGUGGGGAGCAAACA
RNAcentral lists this ribosomal RNA (427 nucleotides) under uncultured bacterium. RNAcentral describes it as "partial 16S ribosomal RNA". It matches the Rfam family "Bacterial small subunit ribosomal RNA", at positions 355 to 774 of the family's 1533-position model. The record is from RNAcentral.